CGUGUCGGCAUAGAGGAUACAUCUGGUCCGGUUGGCAGCGAGGCGGGGAAUGCCACAAGAUUCUCCUCGGACUCUGCUGCCCCUGACGGUGCAACACCAGGAUCUUCUGCAUCAACACCUACUGCUGUUCCACGGACACGUCUUCAAAAAGGGGUAAUAAAACCAAUUAAUUACAAACAGUUGACAAAGUUCAGUAUAAUUUGCUCCAUAGAUGAACCAAGUACUCUUAGCGAGGCACUCAGCGACAAAAAUUGGAAGGCAGCCAUGGAAGAAGAACACAUGGCACUCCUCAAAAAUAAAACGUGGCAUCUGGUUCCCCCACGGCACGGUAAAAAUUUGAUUGAUUGCAAGUGGGUCUUUAGAUCAAAAAGAAGGCUGAUGAAACCAUUGAUCGCUACAAAGCAAGACUAG
Molecule: ribosomal RNA, 411 nt
Filed under: Triticum aestivum (bread wheat)
Lineage: Eukaryota; Viridiplantae; Streptophyta; Magnoliopsida; Poales; Poaceae
Description: partial small subunit ribosomal RNA
Source: RNAcentral